AGGAAGUAGAGAGUAAGAUGACGUGCCUGCACCCAUCUGUGGGCCCAGAGAUGGCCAAACACAUCAGGAGUUCAGAGCAGAAUUUGCAAGUUCUAGGUGCAGGCAGUGGAGUCCCUGGGUCCACGAGCUUAAUCCAUGCUGACCAUGCAGCCAGGAUCCCAAGAAGCCCUAGGAGGUGUACCAGAACCAGGGGGUCUUUGAACCAUUCCUCCCCACUCCAGAGACUAAGAUGAAAACACCGUCCAGCUCCGGGCUUGUUCAGGAAACCUUCAGCCUCAGCAUUUCUUCUGAACUUGGACAAAUAGCUGAUAGUCCCGUUGGGCUCUAUCUCUGCUUCAUGACCGUGGCCUUUCUCCUCUCAAGCAUCAAAUUCUGGCAUCUUUCAGGGUCCUGAAGAUGGGGAUCCUGGGUCUUCCAGAGCCUGUCUCCUGAGGGGCUGCCCU
Molecule: long non-coding RNA, 443 nt
Organism: Dromiciops gliroides (monito del monte)
Lineage: Eukaryota; Metazoa; Chordata; Mammalia; Microbiotheria; Microbiotheriidae
Exons: 3
Source: RefSeq, a predicted model, not a curated record